UGUUCUCAGGUAAAUGAUGGUGAGCUUGGAGGAGGAGGGUCAGUACCGCCAGGACGCCGGCCCGGACUGUCCUGCCUCCCACCACAUUACCCCAGGCCUCCUAACCCAGGCCUCCUAGCCCAGGCCUCCUGGGGCACCCUAACGCUGCUCUAAGAAAGUCAUUAUGCCGCCAAAGAAAAAGGGAAAAUGGGUUCCACGUUUUCAACGUGGAUCUCAGGCAAAAAGGCAGGCACAAAUGAAAAAAGCACUAGAAAAGAAGAAAGUACAACUCCGCGAGCAGUUCCCGGUAUCUAAUGGUGCUCCACAUCGAGAAAAAGAAAAAGCUCAGGGCGCUACACAAAAAGACACAUGGCCACAGACCAAGCAGUUGGCAAGUCGUCUGCUUAAACCCUGGGUACACAGUAAACCCCUCUUUAAACGACCAACAUGGGGACAGAGUAACCAUCUCUUCAGUCGGCCAACAAAUUCUUGGGAACAGAGUACCUCACUUUCAAGUCGAUUGUUACAGAACUCGGGGCAGAAUCCUCUGUCAUCCAGCCGCUCAUCGCAAACUUUUGGACAAUAUAGUAAUUUGUCAAGUCAAAUGAGAGAAGCUUUUGAGGACAGUUACUCACUUCGAUCACCGCUGUCCUGGAAAGAUAGUUGUUUGUCAAAUCGAUCAGCACAACCUCCAUGGGAACAGAAUAGAUCAUCCCAGCCACCAUGGGAACAGAAUAGAUCAUCACAGCCACCAUGGGAACAGAAUAAAUCAUCCCAGCCACCAUGGGAACAGAAUAAAUCAUCCCAGCCACCUUGGGAACAGAGUAGGUUAAGGUCAAGCUGGCAAGAACAGCUUUGGGAACAAAAUGCUCCUCCGUCAGGUCGAUCACCAGACAAUUGGGAUCAGAAUAAUUCAGUGUCAGGCCGCCAGGAACAGGCUUGGGACCAAAAUGCUCCUCCAUCAAGUAGAUCGGCAGAUAACUGGGAUCAGAAUAAUUCAAUGUUAAGCCGGCAUGAACAGACUUGGGAAGACGAUCCUCCCAUGUCAAGUAGAUCAACAGACAAUUGGGAGCAGAAUAAUUCAAUGUCAGGCCGGCAUGAACAGACAUGGGAAGACGAUCCCCCCAUGUCAAGUAGAUCAGCAGACAAUUGGGAGCAGAAUAAUUCAAUGUUGGGCCGGCGUGAACAGACUUGGGAAGGAGAUAUUCCUAUGUCAAGUCAAUCUGUAGACAAUUGGGAUGAAAGUAAUUUAAAGCCAAGUCGACCAACACAAAGUUGGGAACAGAGUAGUUCAUUGCUAAGUCGACCGGUACAAAGCUAUGAGCAUAGUACGUCAUUGCUAAGUCGACCAGCACAGAGUUAUGAACAUAGUACAUCAUUGCUAAUUCGACCAGCACCAAGCUGGGAACAGGGUUCUUUGCUAAUUCGAACAGCACAGAGCUAUGAACAGAGUACAUCAUUAAUAAGUCGACCUGAACAGAGCUGGGAACAAAGUAGCUCGAUGAUAACCCGACCACCACCUUCGUGGGGGCAGAGUAACUCGGCAACAAAUCGACAACCUACUGCUAUUGGACAAGUUAAUUCAAUGACAAGUCGGCCACCGCCAUCGCUGGGGCCAAACAAUAGCAUUUCAAGUAGACCACAGAACUGGAAUCAGACAAGUUCACAGUCAAAUCAACGAACACAAACAUGGGACGAGGAUAGGCAUCUGAUUGGCGAACAGACGCAACCCUGGACACAGAGUAAUUUGACAAAUCGACCAACGCAGGCCUGGCAGCAGGAUAGCCUUUUAAAAAAUCCACCAGCACAGGCUUGGACUAAAAAGAGCCAGGAGAUGGAUCGAUAUUCACAGUCCCGGCCAGAAAAUAGCCCUGGUGGGAAGAUGUCUAAAGCCCAACCUCCAGUGGCCUCUGAGGGCAUGGCCAAGAAUGAUCCACAUAGAAGAAUUACCCCUGUAAGAUCACACUUCGGAAUGAAAUAUAUGCAGAAAAUGGGCUGGAUGCCGGGUGAAGGUCUCGGCAAGAACAAGGAGGGAAUGAUUGAGCCACUAAUGCCUGAAGCCAAUAUGGACCUUCCAGGAGCCUAUUAUGCAGGGGGAUGGCAAUCAAAAGUUGGACAGCAAGUUCAGAAGCGGCCAAAGAAACUUACAGCUAAGGCUAUUGCAGGCAAGCACCCAGUCUCGGCUGUGAUUGAGCUGUGUACAAAUCGCAAUUGGCCGGCACCCAUUUUUGAGGUGAUCUCCGAGUCUGGCCCAGUUCACAAGAAAAUGAUUAUCAUGAAGGUGACUGUAAAUGGGCGCGCAUAUAAACACAAGGAAGAAGUGGCUUCCAAGAAGGUGGCAAAGGCAGAGGCGGCCAAGAUAUGUCUACAGUCCCUCGGACUAAUGCCCAAGCCCAAGAAAGCUCCGUAGUCACUCGUAAACGAUGAGUGAAGCAAAAUAAGUCACUGCUAGGAACAGUCAUGAGAGUCGUGUUCUUCACUUUCAAGAAGUUCAAGCUCCACUAUACCAGUAGGGACACUGGCCUCCUCCCUUUGGCAUGUAAAAGUAUGGGAGGUGAAAGAUAUCCUCUACAGCUCAACAUUGCUCAUCCUGUAUAAGUAUGGCAGAUGAAGGAGAUCCACGGCAACUAAAUGUGGCUCAUCCCGUGCGAGUAUGCACAGCAGAUCAUGGAGCUCCUCUGCAUUCCCGAAAGAACAAGAGAGUAAAAAAGGACAUCACUUCUAAGUGGAAAAAUUAUGAAAGAAAGUUCUACAUCUCGUAGAUGAAGCAUUAACAGGACUGUGUACUCUGAGGUCUGGAGAAAAACAUAUAUCACAGGAUUGAGAUCUGGAUAUUCCCCAGAUACUAAUCCUAAGAACAUUAGCAGUUGAAGAAGAGUUGCAAAAUUUUGACGAAACAGUGACAACGUCUGGCUCAUUGUUGUAGGUGACCAUGGUACUGGAGCAUCUGUCACUGUUCCCAGUUAUCUGGGCAAUCUCCCUCAUGGAAAACCUGCUCUCCAAGGCUACACAACCCAGGAUACCUGCAGCCAACAACUGCCCACCCUCACCUGUAUUGUCGCUCGUCGCCCUCCGACGUGCAGAGGGAAUAUUGGUAGUUGUUGCUAACAGUUCUCUCACACAUGAGGGCAAUUCUACAUCAAACUACCUGCCUGCCCCUAAACGACCCAGGACCAUGCUCGCUAGCCCCCCUUCACGAUGACCAACUCUACACAACCCUGCACCUCUAUGUGUUCAAGUGACCAUUUGCUCUUUACUUCUUGUGUAUUGGGUGAGCCACUUGGUUGUCAUAGAGCAACCAUGAUGGCGGGUGUGGAGAAGUGGAGCCUACACAUCUUUCAUCAGGCUAAAACAUUUCACACUCAUCAUCCCAGCAGCCCUCAUUAUGUGGCCACGUUAAGCCUCUCUUUGCCAUACCUCUAUCAAGACGACCGAAACACACACCAGAAGAUGAGGAAACGACGACAUUUUGGUCCCUCCUGGAUCAUUAUCAAGUCCUAAUCUUGACAAACAGCAAGGCCCUAUCACGGUGAUACAGUCUACACGCAGCCAUAUCAUUACCUAUUCUGCUACUGUAUUCUACUCACCUACUCUACCCCUCACCACCUUCCCUACCCUUCAUCACCUUCCCUUAUCGUUCACCACCUUCCUUACCCUUCACCAUCUUCCCUUAUCUUUCACCACCUUCCCUACCCUUAACUACUUUUGCUUCAUCCCUGUAACCGUUUUCACUAAUGAUGUCUUCAUUUAAUCAUCAUGUUGAUAAUAACAUGAUGAUUAUCAUUUGCCAUUUCAUGCAAAGGGAAUCAUGGGGCUUGACCUCCAACCACCCUAUGACCAUUACCGCACAAAGACUAGUCACCCUGCAAAGUUUGGUGAGGCUAGCCUCCAGUCUCUGUCCCCCAACAUCGAACAGAGAUUCGUAUUGUUUAUAUAUACUAAUAUACAGUAUAUAGGGGGUACCACCUCAGGUGCAAUUGUAGGGACCCAUAGCCUUGUAGAAGAAAAUGGAGAGUAUUCAGAUAAGACCUAGUGGAUUCUCACUGAACGCUUUAAUAUUUUCUUCUCCUACCGCCUCAAUUUUAUUUUAUUACAUUGUGUUACAAUUUACAGAAAACACACACACAUAACAAUCACUGUUCGAAGACCUCAUCCAGUCCUUUGGACGUGGGAUGUGUGCCCAAGAUACAGCACACAUUUCUUCUGUGGGUCGCGACACUAAGGCACUGGAACAGGAAACUGGCCGCUCUUGAGUCUUUAGUUUGCCUAAUGAGUUCCUCACCCACCUCCUUUAGGGACUUAGGUGUACAUAUUAGACAGUCUAAUAUACAUUAUUUAUAAUAAUUUCCCUAAAAUGGACAUUUGUUACUUUUAACAAUAUGCACCAAACCUGACAAAGAGUACUGGGAAGACGGGACACCACGAGCGUAGCUCUCAUCCUGUAACUACUCUUAGGUAAUUACACACUGUUUGGGUCAACCAGGAAUAUAUGGUUGGUCCACUUCCAGUGUGGACCUUCUUGUUCCUUCUCUCCACUCCUCAUACUUUCAUUCCUUACUCUCUCUUUACCUUUCAACUUUUCUCUCCCUCUUCCAUAUCAAAUAUUUUCCUUUUGUUGUUUUGCUUACAUAAAAUACUGUAAUUUGAUUCUUACUUAAGAGCCUAAUAAAUCCCGUUAUCUUGCCGUGUAUGAAUACUGUACUUGUCUAUUUGUUUGGGUACUGAGUUUCAUUUGCAUAAUUGUUUUCUUUAUAUUUGGUCUUAUAAGAAGUUCAGUUUAGUUAUUUUUAUUUUAUUUUACUUUUAUUUGUAAUAAAUUUUUAACACUUGCCCAUCCUA
Molecule: non-coding RNA, 4818 nt
Organism: Procambarus clarkii (red swamp crayfish)
Lineage: Eukaryota; Metazoa; Arthropoda; Malacostraca; Decapoda; Cambaridae
Source: RefSeq, a predicted model, not a curated record